Molecule: long non-coding RNA, 802 nt
Organism: Passer domesticus (house sparrow)
Lineage: Eukaryota; Metazoa; Chordata; Aves; Passeriformes; Passeridae
Exons: 3
Source: RefSeq, a predicted model, not a curated record
AUGGUGCAGAGACACCCCCAGUGGCUCUGGGUGAUAUUAGCCAAAUAAACCCCAGUUUUCAAGCUCACUCUCAGUCCUGGAUCUGUCAGCAAAGCUGGCAAUAGAGAAGUAAGGAUGCAGAACGUGUGAGGACAGUCAUGGAACAAGAAAAAAUAUAAAGAAGACAUACGGUAGACCAUAGAGAGAUUUUAGUGAAGAGAUGAAACAAGACACAAUACGUUAUCAAUAUAAGAGAAAUCAAUUAUCUAAAAGUUGGGAACCUAUAGUCUAGGUGCUUGCAAUGCUGCUGAGCUUUCCUCCGGGCACAGUACUCUGAGGCCUUGAAGAAAUUCCUGUAGAAGGGCUUCUGCAAAGCUCCAUGGGACCAAAUGUAUCCCCAGAUCUGCAGUACUAGAGUGAAAACCUUCAUUUGCACAGUGUCUUCUUACACGAUGUUGACAACACUGUUCUCAAACAUUCAAUCCUCUCAGAAGGAAGGCCCAUAUGGGGUCUUCUCCUCACAUAGCUCCCCUCAAAGCUCACUGGAAGCUUCAGUGAAAGCAAUAUCUACCAGGUAGGAAGAAGCAAAGAAAGUGUUGAUGGGAGUACACAAGAGAGUUCAGCAGAUCAGGAAAGACAAUCUUGUCUUAAUGGUGCAGGACUGAUGGUGCAGGACUGAAGAUCAAAAGACCUGGUUGAUCCUUUCAGUAUUAUGAGAGACGUCAUGGAGGAAGCUGGGCAAUCACUUUCAUUCUGACCUUCUGCCUUCCAGCUGCAAAACGAAGAUAGUGUCCUUCUUAGGUCUGAAAACUUAAAUAUUGCA